RNAcentral lists this ribosomal RNA (234 nucleotides) under uncultured Actinomycetales bacterium. RNAcentral's name for it is "partial 16S ribosomal RNA". It matches the Rfam family "Bacterial small subunit ribosomal RNA", at positions 97 to 334 of the family's 1533-position model. The record is from RNAcentral. Lineage: Bacteria; Bacillati; Actinomycetota; Actinomycetes; Actinomycetales.
GGCGAACGGGUGAGUAACACGUGGGUAAUCUGCCCUGCACUCUGGGAUAAGCCUGGGAAACUGGGUCUAAUACUGGAUAUGAGCCAUUUUUAGUGUGAUGGUUGGAAAGUUUUUUCGGUGUAGGAUGAGCUCGCGGCCUAUCAGCUUGUUGGUGGGGUAAUGGCCUACCAAGGCGGCGACGGGUAGCCGACCUGAGAGGGUGGACGGCCACAUUGGGACUGAGAUACGGCCCAG